This 2770-nucleotide ribosomal RNA is filed under the name Klebsiella pneumoniae subsp. pneumoniae. RNAcentral's name for it is "bacterial LSU rRNA". It matches the Rfam family "Bacterial large subunit ribosomal RNA". The record is from RNAcentral. Lineage: Bacteria; Pseudomonadati; Pseudomonadota; Gammaproteobacteria; Enterobacterales; Enterobacteriaceae.
CACUAUCGUUAACUGAAUACAUAGGUUAACGAGGCGAACCGGGGGAACUGAAACAUCUAAGUACCCCGAGGAAAAGAAAUCAACCGAGAUUCCCCCAGUAGCGGCGAGCGAACGGGGAGCAGCCCAGAGUCUGAAUCAGCUUGUGUGUUAGUGGAACGGUCUGGAAAGUCCGACGGUACAGGGUGAUAGUCCCGUACACCAAAAUGCACAGGCUGUGAACUCGAAGAGUAGGGCGGGACACGUGGUAUCCUGUCUGAAUAUGGGGGGACCAUCCUCCAAGGCUAAAUACUCCUGACUGACCGAUAGUGAACCAGUACCGUGAGGGAAAGGCGAAAAGAACCCCGGCGAGGGGAGUGAAAAAGAACCUGAAACCGUGUACGUACAAGCAGUGGGAGCACCUUCGGGUGUGACUGCGUACCUUUUGUAUAAUGGGUCAGCGACUUAUAUUCUGUAGCAAGGUUAACCGUAUAGGGGAGCCGCAGGGAAACCGAGUCUUAACUGGGCGUUAAGUUGCAGGGUAUAGACCCGAAACCCGGUGAUCUAGCCAUGGGCAGGUUGAAGGUUGGGUAACACUAACUGGAGGACCGAACCGACUAAUGUUGAAAAAUUAGCGGAUGACUUGUGGCUGGGGGUGAAAGGCCAAUCAAACCGGGAGAUAGCUGGUUCUCCCCGAAAGCUAUUUAGGUAGCGCCUCGUGAAUUCAUCUUCGGGGGUAGAGCACUGUUUCGGCUAGGGGGUCAUCCCGACUUACCAACCCGAUGCAAACUACGAAUACCGAAGAAUGUUAUCACGGGAGACACACGGCGGGUGCUAACGUCCGUCGUGAAGAGGGAAACAACCCAGACCGCCAGCUAAGGUCCCAAAGUCAUGGUUAAGUGGGAAACGAUGUGGGAAGGCACAGACAGCCAGGAUGUUGGCUUAGAAGCAGCCAUCAUUUAAAGAAAGCGUAAUAGCUCACUGGUCGAGUCGGCCUGCGCGGAAGAUGUAACGGGGCUAAACCAUGCACCGAAGCUGCGGCAGCGACACUAUGUGUUGUUGGGUAGGGGAGCGUUCUGUAAGCCUGCGAAGGUGACCUGUGAGGGUUGCUGGAGGUAUCAGAAGUGCGAAUGCUGACAUAAGUAACGAUAAAGCGGGUGAAAAGCCCGCUCGCCGGAAGACCAAGGGUUCCUGUCCAACGUUAAUCGGGGCAGGGUGAGUCGACCCCUAAGGCGAGGCCGAAAGGCGUAGUCGAUGGGAAACAGGUUAAUAUUCCUGUACUUGGUGUUACUGCGAAGGGGGGACGGAGAAGGCUAUGUUAGCCGGGCGACGGUUGUCCCGGUUUAAGCAUGUAGGCUGAUUGUCCAGGCAAAUCCGGAUAAUCAAGGCUGAGGUGUGAUGACGAGGCACUACGGUGCUGAAGUAACAAAUGCCCUGCUUCCAGGAAAAGCCUCUAAGCAUCAGGUAACAUCAAAUCGUACCCCAAACCGACACAGGUGGUCAGGUAGAGAAUACCAAGGCGCUUGAGAGAACUCGGGUGAAGGAACUAGGCAAAAUGGUGCCGUAACUUCGGGAGAAGGCACGCUGGUGUGUAGGUGAAGUCCCUGCGGAUGGAGCUGAGACCAGUCGAAGAUACCAGCUGGCUGCAACUGUUUAUUAAAAACACAGCACUGUGCAAACACGAAAGUGGACGUAUACGGUGUGACGCCUGCCCGGUGCCGGAAGGUUAAUUGAUGGGGUUAUCCGUAAGGAGAAGCUCUUGAUCGAAGCCCCGGUAAACGGCGGCCGUAACUAUAACGGUCCUAAGGUAGCGAAAUUCCUUGUCGGGUAAGUUCCGACCUGCACGAAUGGCGUAAUGAUGGCCAGGCUGUCUCCACCCGAGACUCAGUGAAAUUGAACUCGCUGUGAAGAUGCAGUGUACCCGCGGCAAGACGGAAAGACCCCGUGAACCUUUACUAUAGCUUGACACUGAACAUUGAGCCUUGAUGUGUAGGAUAGGUGGGAGGCUUUGAAGCGUGGACGCCAGUCUGCGUGGAGCCAACCUUGAAAUACCACCCUUUAAUGUUUGAUGUUCUAACGUUGGCCCCUGACCGGGGUUGCGGACAGUGUCUGGUGGGUAGUUUGACUGGGGCGGUCUCCUCCCAAAGCGUAACGGAGGAGCACGAAGGUUAGCUAAUCCUGGUCGGACAUCAGGAGGUUAGUGCAAUGGCAUAAGCUAGCUUGACUGCGAGCGUGACGGCGCGAGCAGGUGCGAAAGCAGGUCAUAGUGAUCCGGUGGUUCUGAAUGGAAGGGCCAUCGCUCAACGGAUAAAAGGUACUCCGGGGAUAACAGGCUGAUACCGCCCAAGAGUUCAUAUCGACGGCGGUGUUUGGCACCUCGAUGUCGGCUCAUCACAUCCUGGGGCUGAAGUAGGUCCCAAGGGUAUGGCUGUUCGCCAUUUAAAGUGGUACGCGAGCUGGGUUUAGAACGUCGUGAGACAGUUCGGUCCCUAUCUGCCGUGGGCGCUGGAGAAUUGAGGGGGGCUGCUCCUAGUACGAGAGGACCGGAGUGGACGCAUCACUGGUGUUCGGGUUGUCAUGCCAAUGGCACUGCCCGGUAGCUAAAUGCGGAAGAGAUAAGUGCUGAAAGCAUCUAAGCACGAAACUUGCCCCGAGAUGAGUUCUCCCUGAGACUUUAAGUCUCCUGAAGGAACGUUAAAGACGAUGACGUUGAUAGGCCGGGUGUGUAAGCGCAGCGAUGCGUUGAGCUAACCGGUACUAAUGAACCGUGAGGCUUAACCUUACAACGCCGAAG